AACAUUUCUUUUAGAUUAUUUUAAAAGUAAAGUCUGCCCACUGUAUAAAAUAAAGGGCCGCGGUAUUUUGACCGUGCAAAGGUAGCAUAAUCAUUAGUCUCUUAAUUGGGGAAUGGAAUGAAUGGCUUAAUGAUUUUUUUCUUUUAUUUAUAUUAAAUUAUAAAUUUGAUUUUAAGUGAAAAUACUUAAAUUUAUUAAUUAGACGAUAAGACCCUAUAGAAUUUUAUUUUUAUUAUUAUUUAUAUUUUUUUAAAAAUUUAAAUGGGGCAUUUUUUGAAUAAAAAUAAUUUCUUUAAGAUUUUAAAAAAUAUCUUUAUUGUUAGAUUUUAAAAAAAUUACCUUAGGGAUAACAGCGUAAUAAUUUUUGAGAGUUCAUAUCGACAAAAUAGUUUGCGACCUCGAUGUUGAAUUAAAAUGCCUUUAUAAAGCAGCUUUUAUAAAAGGUAGUCUGUUCGACUAUAAAAAUUUUACAUGAUUUGAGU
RNAcentral lists this ribosomal RNA (482 nucleotides) under Tomocerus ocreatus. Its description in RNAcentral is "partial 16S ribosomal RNA". It matches the Rfam family "Bacterial large subunit ribosomal RNA", at positions 1812 to 2610 of the family's 2925-position model. Lineage: Eukaryota; Metazoa; Arthropoda; Collembola; Entomobryomorpha; Tomoceridae. The record is from RNAcentral.